UGGGGCCCCACUGAAGACCUCCUGGGAGUGGUCUUCUUGGAGCAGCGGGUCUGUGAACUGGAGCCCUCCCGGUAGACUGGGAUGCCAUCUAAGAAGACUUCCUGGGUUUGAGAGUGCCCCACCUUCUCAUUUGACUUCCUGUAAGAAAACCAGUAAUGAAUAAAUAUGCUAUCAGCGCUAUGAAUCUCAGCCUAAACCAAAUCAAAUUUUCAUCAUCUCUUGACACCUGCUGGAUCACAUCCUGCUGAUUCUCCAGAAGAUGCACUUCACCAAAAUGCACGGGAUUGGAGUCAGUGCAGAGCAGGUGACCCCCAUGGACCACACAGGCUGAGGCAAG
This is a long non-coding RNA of Columba livia (rock pigeon), 337 nucleotides long. RefSeq lists it as uncharacterized. The transcript is spliced from 3 exons. The record is from RefSeq and is a predicted model, not a curated record. NCBI's taxonomy places the organism in Eukaryota, Metazoa, Chordata, Aves, Columbiformes, Columbidae.